ACCGUCCUACGGGGGGCAGCAGUGGGGAAUAUUGCACAAUGGGGGAAACCCUGAUGCAGCGACGCCGCGUGAGCGAUGAAGUAUUUCGGUAUGUAAAGCUCUAUCAGCAGGGAAGAAGAUGACGGUACCUGACUAAGAAGCCCCGGCUAACUACGUGCCAGCAGCCGCGGUAAUACGUAGGGGGCAAGCGUUAUCCGGAUUUACUGGGUGUAAAGGGAGCGUAGACGGCGG
This 231-nucleotide ribosomal RNA is filed under the name uncultured bacterium. Its description in RNAcentral is "partial 16S ribosomal RNA". It matches the Rfam family "Bacterial small subunit ribosomal RNA", at positions 335 to 581 of the family's 1533-position model. The record is from RNAcentral.